This is a long non-coding RNA of Apodemus sylvaticus (European woodmouse), 420 nucleotides long. RefSeq lists it as uncharacterized. Lineage: Eukaryota; Metazoa; Chordata; Mammalia; Rodentia; Muridae. The record is from RefSeq and is a predicted model, not a curated record. The transcript is spliced from 3 exons.
GAAAAGCACAGCAGCAUACAACUCAGAGGGUGAAGUGCUGUGGUCUUUCCUGCAUAUCAGAAGGAAAACCAGGGAGAAUCAGAGUCUCGGGUAAAAUCAACCCCAUCCCAUGGCGUGAACAUCGCAGGAGUCCAUCAGGAGACAGACAGGUGUGAGUCAAACCACAGCUCCUGCUUCCUGACCUGCUUGAGUUCCAGUCCUGACUUCCUUUGGUGAUGAACUGCAGUGUGGGAAGUGUAAGCUGAAUAAACCCUUUCCUCCCCAACUUGCUUCUUGAUCAUGAUGUUUGUGCAGGAAUAGAAACCCUGACUAAGACAGCCAUGUAACAGGCAUUUGGCAUACCUUCCUUCCAGAAACCCCAGAGCUAACCAAAUGGCCUACACUGGAGUCUGCAGGGCCCAGUGGGACCUUCUUUAGGAG